UACGAAGGGGGCUAGCGUUGUUCGGAAUUACUGGGCGUAAAGCGCGCGCAGGCGGUUCUUCAAGUCAGAGGUGAAAGCCCAGAGCUCAACUCUGGAAUGGCCUUUGAGACUAGAGAACUAGGGUACGGGAGAGGUGAGUGGAAUUCCGAGUGUAGAGGUGAAAUUCGUAGAUAUUGGGAAGAACACCGGUGGCGAAGGCGGCUAUCUGGCCCGUAAUUGACGCUGAGGCGCGAAAGCGUGGGGAGCAAACAGG
This 253-nucleotide ribosomal RNA is filed under the name uncultured bacterium. RNAcentral's name for it is "partial 16S ribosomal RNA". It matches the Rfam family "Bacterial small subunit ribosomal RNA", at positions 524 to 776 of the family's 1533-position model. The record is from RNAcentral.